CUUUGGGAGUCAUUGAGUUGUUUAUCACUGAAAGCCUGUUUGGAAAUUAUUAAUUGGUUUUAGGCCUAUUUCUAGGAACACACCUUUAGUGAACGAUGCCCUCGAGCGAUAACUUGUUUUGACUCACAAACCUUUUUGUGAAACAGUAUUAAAUGCAUUGUUUUAAUCAACCCUUCAAAGAUAUGUUUGUUAACCAAAAACGUCCACUGGAAAUAAGAAUCUGGAGGUGCUGUGGUUAAGAUCUUGGACUUUUGAGAAAUGAUCGAUAGUAUUUUUUGGGGGGAUGUAUAGUAAAAAGAAAGUCGUCGCUGCUUGGAACAAUAAUUAAAAACUGAAGACCCCACCACGGCUCAUUAAGAUUUCAGGACAAGUAGUUCGUCAACGUUUUUUUAAAUGCAAAUGAUGUUAUUGUCUUGUAUUGAUUGAGAACCUGCGGGCAAGAUCUUAGAAGUAGUGCCUUCCGAUAUAUUUUCGAUGCAACCGUCCUUUGUGAAUGGAGUCAAGUUCAAGUUUAACCAAUUCUGACUGAAAUUCCGACGACAAAGCUGAUACAUCCUCAUAUGGAAUUCCAUCACGAGGCUCAGUUAAGAAGGCCAAAAAGAAUAGAACUGAGGUUUAGAGUAGGACAAAAAGUAAUUCGUAGACGUUCUUCCUCUCGAACAGAGUAAACUGAAUAGGAGUCCAAAGAAUUUGCUAACUGCGACGGCGAUCAAGCGAACUACGCCUGAAAUUUACAAGCGAUUACGGUGAAAUCUACCCACCGUGGAGAUCAGCUUUGCAACCGACAUGGUAUUAUUUUGUCACAGAUACACUUGGUUUGUUCUCGCGAUUUGGACCAUCCAACUCGUGGUUUUCGUCCAAGGAGAAGGUAAG
Molecule: long non-coding RNA, 873 nt
Organism: Stylophora pistillata
Lineage: Eukaryota; Metazoa; Cnidaria; Anthozoa; Scleractinia; Pocilloporidae
Source: RefSeq, a predicted model, not a curated record